GGAGAGAUGGCUCAGCGGUUAAGAGCACUGACUGCUCUUCCAGGGGUCCUGAGUUCAAUCCCCAGCAACCACA
RNAcentral lists this transfer RNA (73 nucleotides) under Mus musculus (house mouse). RNAcentral's name for it is "tRNA-Ser". The record is from RNAcentral. Lineage: Eukaryota; Metazoa; Chordata; Mammalia; Rodentia; Muridae.